GAUGAACGCUGACAGAAUGCUUAACACAUGCAAGUCAACUUGAAUUUGGGUUUUUAACUUAGGUUUGGGUGGCGGACGGGUGAGUAACGCGUAAAGAACUUGCCUCACAGCUAGGGACGACAUUUGGAAACGAAUGCUAAUACCUAAUAUUAUGAUAAUAGGGCAUCCUAUAAUUAUGAAAGCUAUAAGCGCUGUGAGAGAGCUUUGCGUCCCAUUAGCUAGUUGGAGAGGUAACGGCUCACCAAGGCGAUGAUGGGUAGCCGGCCUGAGAGGGUGAUCGGCCACAAGGGGACUGAGACACGGCCCUUACUCCUACGGGAGGCAGCAGUGGGGAAUAUUGGACAAUGGACCGAGAGUCUGAUCCAGCAAUUCUGUGUGCACGAUGAAGUUUUUCGGAAUGUAAAGUGCUUUCAGUUGGGAAGAAACAAAUGACGGUACCAACAGAAGAAGUGACGGCUAAAUACGUG
RNAcentral lists this ribosomal RNA (467 nucleotides) under uncultured bacterium. Its description in RNAcentral is "partial 16S ribosomal RNA". It matches the Rfam family "Bacterial small subunit ribosomal RNA", at positions 28 to 507 of the family's 1533-position model. The record is from RNAcentral.